This 824-nucleotide ribosomal RNA is filed under the name Candida tropicalis. Its description in RNAcentral is "LSU rRNA". It matches the Rfam family "Eukaryotic large subunit ribosomal RNA", at positions 78 to 921 of the family's 3401-position model. Lineage: Eukaryota; Fungi; Ascomycota; Pichiomycetes; Serinales; Debaryomycetaceae. The record is from RNAcentral.
CCUUAGUAGCGGCGAGUGAAGCGGCAAAAGCUCAAAUUUGAAAUCUGGCUCUUUCAGAGUCCGAGUUGUAAUUUGAAGAAGGUAUCUUUGGGUCUGGCUCUUGUCUAUGUUUCUUGGAACAGAACGUCACAGAGGGUGAGAAUCCCGUGCGAUGAGAUGAUCCAGGCCUAUGUAAAGUUCCUUCGAAGAGUCGAGUUGUUUGGGAAUGCAGCUCUAAGUGGGUGGUAAAUUCCAUCUAAAGCUAAAUAUUGGCGAGAGACCGAUAGCGAACAAGUACAGUGAUGGAAAGAUGAAAAGAACUUUGAAAAGAGAGUGAAAAAGUACGUGAAAUUGUUGAAAGGGAAGGGCUUGAGAUCAGACUUGGUAUUUUGUAUGUUACUUCUUCGGGGGUGGCCUCUACAGUUUAUCGGGCCAGCAUCAGUUUGGGCGGUAGGAGAAUUGCGUUGGAAUGUGGCACGGCUUCGGUUGUGUGUUAUAGCCUUCGUCGAUACUGCCAGCCUAGACUGAGGACUGCGGUUUAUACCUAGGAUGUUGGCAUAAUGAUCUUAAGUCGCCCGUCUUGAAACACGGACCAAGGAGUCUAACGUCUAUGCGAGUGUUUGGGUGUAAAACCCGUACGCGUAAUGAAAGUGAACGUAGGUGGGGGCCCGUAUGGGUGCACCAUCGACCGAUCCUGAUGUCUUCGGAUGGAUUUGAGUAAGAGCAUAGCUGUUGGGACCCGAAAGAUGGUGAACUAUGCCUGAAUAGGGUGAAGCCAGAGGAAACUCUGGUGGAGGCUCGUAGCGGUUCUGACGUGCAAAUCGAUCGUCGAAUUUGGGUAUAGG